UUUCCGAAUCGGCGGGAACGAGGGGAAGUAAUUGAACGUCAAAAACGUGAUCGCGAAACACUACGGGGUUCACAAAACGACGCGCAAAGAGAUACGCCUCGAACCCAGAGCGAAAGGAGGAUAGAGUGUGGAGAAGGUUGGGAGAAGGCGUUUUCACCUAAAUAAUCCAGAUAUUCGUAGUCUCACUGGUCCGUUCAGUGCGUCGAUAAACAAGAGAUCCCGGGAACGUAAGUAAUCCGGGGGCCAGACGGUGAGCGAGAGAGUAGAAACGGACGAAAAGCGAAAACCAACGAUUAUUCACUCCGUCCUGUGUCGCUGACCGGACGUACUUGCACAUAACCUUGCAAAAAUUGCAAGCGUCAGGGGGAUAAGAGGAGCCGAGAGCGGCCGAGAGAGCGAGCGAGAGGGAUACGGUGGAGGGAAAAAAAAAAAUGUUGGAGGGAGACGGAGUAAAAUCGCCAGACGGAGUCUCAUCGUUUCUAAAAUUAAUGGAGGACGAAUUUGCGCGCGAAGGAGAGGAAAAAAAAAUCAACUGGUCGGUGCGAUAGCGCUGGAAAUACCGAGAUAAUCAAUAAAAAAAAAAUAUCAUUAAUAAUUUGUUGCUGUACCUGAGCGUUAAUUUUGGUUUCCCUAAAUGAUGAUUAAUUUCCAACGAUCGGCUGCUCGUUCCUCACCGACGAUUGAAAAAAUAAUAAUAAACUGAUUGAAAUUUCGACAGAUCCUUAUUACAACGGAGCUGAGCACCCAAUCAACACACUGCAAUGCACGAGGACGAUCACGAUAUCUCCGGUAUAAUCCGCGGUAUGCGACACAUAUUAACCGACAGACGCACCGUCUUCACAAUGCUAUAAUUUUUCCACCGAGUUAUCACUUUAGCGAUGUCCUUCCAACAAUAGUCACUGUCGCCGAAAAAAAAAAAAUCGCUGAAUUGAAUUUAUCAAAACUCGUGUGUCCGAACGGAAUUACCGUAAUCACUUUUGUCGAGUCAAAUCACUAUUGUAUCACUUGUACCGCUGGAUAAACGAAGAUAUCACUUAAACUUUGUCUAUACCGUUAACUUUGGAAACUGUUCGUCAACUCGAAUAACAAAAACAAAAAAAGUUUUAAAUUAAUUUAAAAAAAAAAAAGAAAAAAAAAACUAAAAUCCAGGCACUUUGUUGAUUGUAUAUUGCAGUGAGGUGAUAGUGGCGCAAAGUCCGGUGGCACAGCGGUGGUGAAGAUGGCUUUUUUGGACAAAAUAAUACUCCUCUCUCGUGUGGUGCCUACAUAGCCGUGUGAUGCAUAAAUUGGACUGUCUCGACUAGUGAACGGUGCAGUGGUGCAAGCCCCCGCUAAACAAAACCAGUUUGCCCGGCUUUUUCGCAUACACACAAGGAGUACAAAUACAGACGGUCUAAGAACACCCCGUAAGGUGGUGGAACAGUAUGGGGAGGUAAAAGGGGGUAAAGGAGAAACCCUGAAAACGGGAUAGUUGAGGGCAAUGGGUGAGGGUACAGCAAAAAUUUUGCUACCCAAUCCAAUCGGAUUCAACGGUUUUGCCUCUCUUUUGCGCUGUGGUAACCGUACACAGGGGGGCCUCAGCCCCGCCUUUGCAUCAGUAGCGUCUCUAGUACCGUAAAACACCUACGGAUGCAAUGGGUGCAGUUGGGGGGUUGAAAAGCCCGCCUUUUACCCCACCAUGCGACAGUUCACGGGAGAAAAUAAAAAUACAUUAGAAAUAUUUAAAUUGAGUUCGGGCGCGAUAGGUUUGGGGCAUCAGGGGGUGACUUUAAAUUUUGAAAAUCGGGUUCAGAGGCCAUUGAGCAUUUUCGAAAGCCACUCGCCCCAAAACGCCGGAGAAUGUUCAUCUCCUGGAGUUGAAAAAAAAAAAUAAAACUGCAGAAUUUCAGUGUUCUGACCUCGAGCAGCAAUUAUUCGGGAAUUUGGGGCCCGAGGGGCGAUUUUUCAGGGGAUUUUCGGCCGCCGCGUACUCAUCGAUGGGAUUGAUCUACUUGACAAGUGGAAAUGGAAAACUCAGACGGGAAAAAGUAGUAACAGACAGCUUGGAGCGUACACGAUACUCAGGGGAUGUGGGUACGGCCCUGACGUGUAGUCUGGCAGUGCACCCGCUGCUUCUCUCCCCUCCUCGCGAACCCCCUCCCCCCCCCUUGGGUGAGGAGGGAGAGAAUCGCACACAGACGUUGAGAAGGACAGAAGAGGCUGAAGGAGUUGGAGAGGUAGAGGAGAGAGUGAAAGAUAUUGGGAAGGGGUGAGCAGAUACGACGCUGGCGAGACCCAACGCGCUUUGCAGAAACCUGUUUCUACGUUUUCUGCUUUACGUGUGAUUAUUAUGAAUAUAAAACUCCAAAGUUCUAGUCUUUUUCAUCGAAAAAAGUGCGUUCGAUGGCGGAGAAAUAUUCGAGCCCAUCGGGGAACCCAAAUUUUGGAAGAUUUUUUUUUUUUUUCGCGGGGAAAAUAGUGUUCGCACGCUUGGUUCACUCGAUUGCGGGACAAUGCACAUUUUUGCUGGAUAUUUAUUUUUUUUUUUUGCGACUGAACGGAGGGCAUUGUCGUGGGAGGCUGAUAUUCAAAGGGGUACGGUAUACUCGACGAUGGCCCCGAAGCCCUGUUCGAUGCACUUCGUCAUUUUCUGUCUUUAUUUUUAGUUCUCUCUGUCCCUGUCUCGCUCUUUAUUCAACUUGUUUUCGGACUGUGGUCAAAGCACUCGGCGCCGAAGCCUUUCGAUGAGUUUCUUUUGUUCCAUCGUUUGGAAAAAUGGGGAUCGGAGAAUUCAAUGAAAUUUUCAAUGCUCUGGGAAAAUGUGGGUUACUGCGGUGCAUGGGCAGCGGGCGGAAGGGGAUUUAUUGGGCGUAUUGGAUAGAUUUCUGGCUCGCCGGACCGGCCGUUCGCGGGGAAUAACUCCACAGGUGGUAAUUAUGAUAGUUUUACUGCUCUAGGAGGUGAUCGUGGUGGUUGUCAGGGUGAGUGCAGUCGCUCCGGGAAUUGCAAACGUUAGGAAAAUAAUUUAAAUUCUUGGAUUUUUUUUUUUCAGUGGAAAAGUUUAGGAGAAAUGAGCAAUUGGGGGAGAUUUUCAGGUAUUGACCUGGGUAAUGUCGUCGUCCUGGAGCAGCAUGGUAGUUAUUAUAAAUCAUUUGAUUGUUGAUAUGUGGGUAAAAAUUAGACCACUUCAGGUACAUAAAUAUUUAGUAAAAUAUGUAAAAAAAUUAAUACAUCAAAAAUAUGUGGAAUUAACUUGAAUUUUAUAAAAUGAAAAUUUGUAUUUAGUGAGUUGAAGAUGUUAUUUUGUCAUAAAAAAAUUCGUGAAGUUCUUAUACUACAGAAAAUGUCAAGAACUUUGAAGAAUAUUAAUAAUCCAUUAGUUCCAUCGUUUUAACUGAUAAUUUUAGUGAUAAAAAAAAAUUAGUGAUUAAAAAUUAUUGAAGUUGUACUCUUCUCUGUCCGAAACAGUAAAAUAUGUUAGAAAUUUGUAUUUAGUAAGUUGAAGAUGUUAUUUUAUCAUAAAAAAAUUCGUGAAUUUUUUUUAUAAUAAAUACAAUGUCAAGACCCCUCGAAGAAUAUUAAUAACCCAUUAGUUCCAUCGUUUUAACUAAUAAUUUUAGUUAUAAAAAAAAAAAAUUACUGAUUAAAAAUUAUUGAAGUUGUACUCUCCUCUCCCCGGAACAGUAAAAUAUGGCAUGGGCCUCCGAUAUCCCCAGAAUAUGUGGGAAAUCAUGACUGGUGGAUGAAAAAAUCGGCAACAGGUGUCGGGUAAGAGGGCAUAUGUAAAGAAUUUAAAAGAUCCGUCGCGCUUCCGGCGGGUAGGAGGGCUCGUACCCCUCGGGGGGACUAUCCGAAAGACU
Long non-coding RNA from Diachasmimorpha longicaudata, 3839 nucleotides. RefSeq lists it as uncharacterized. The record is from RefSeq and is a predicted model, not a curated record. Lineage: Eukaryota; Metazoa; Arthropoda; Insecta; Hymenoptera; Braconidae. The transcript has 3 exons.